RNAcentral lists this ribosomal RNA (305 nucleotides) under uncultured bacterium. RNAcentral's name for it is "partial 16S ribosomal RNA". It matches the Rfam family "Bacterial small subunit ribosomal RNA", at positions 508 to 807 of the family's 1533-position model. The record is from RNAcentral.
ACAGCAGUAGCCGCGGUAAUACGAAGGGUGCAAGCGUUAAUCGGAAUUACUGGGCGUAAAGCGUGCGUAGGCGGUUUGUUAAGUCUGUUGUGAAAUCCCCGGGCUCAACCUGGGAAUGGCAAUGGAUACUGGCAAGCUAGAGUGUGUCAGAGGAUGGUGGAAUUCCCGGUGUAGCGGUGAAAUGCGUAGAGAUCGGGAGGAACAUCAGUGGCGAAGGCGGCCAUCUGGGACAAUACUGACGCUGAGGCACGAAAGCGUGGGGAGCAAACAGGAUUAGAGACCCCCGUAGUCCCUGUCUCUUAUAC